CUCAUUUGAACAUAAACAACCACUCAAGCAGUCACAAAAAGUGUUUCCUCAAGUUCAGCUCAACGAUUUCUUGCUAACAGCCUUUUCUACUGCGGAUUUCUUCCUUCAUUACAAGAACUAAAGAGUCACAGAGACUGACCAGAGCGACUAAAGUAACUUUCAUCAUGGAAAAUUGUGACGUUCCCGUUCUCCUGACCGACAACCAGACAGGAAGGAGAACCUCUGCUCGCCAGGCAGAGAGCGCGUCGAGGCCCUCAGCCUGGAGACAGUGUUCAUGCUGCAGGGACAAGCAGGGGCCGACUCUAAAGAGAAAGCGCCGGCCCUCUGCUGCUCCCGGAGACCUUCACCAGAAGAGGAAGCGCACCUCCGGAGGCCGUCCCCUCCCUGACCAUCCAGAGGUGUUGGACUGUGUCCCCGCUGUGCAGCCCUCCCCAGCUGGUGACCAUUCAGGGUCUUUGGUGGAGAAGCCUAGAGCCACCAUCCCACCUGCUGACCUGCCCCGAGUCUCCUGUGUGGCCCCCAGCCUCCAGCCCUCCACUGCUCCACUGCACGACGGGCCUCUGAAGAUAUUCAACCUCCCAGUGGAAGAAUACCAGCAGCUGUACCACGAGGUUGUUGAUGAAAUGCUGAGGUUCAAGAGCGGCCGUCUGCGUCCUUACACUCUGAGCCUGGGGCGCGUCAUCAAGCAGAAGCUGUGGCAGAGACUGGACCGUCCCCUGUUCACCGAAACAGUCAACGGAGACGGACUGGUGCACGUGGAUGUCUCCUACGGGGUUGGAGUCUUCCCUCCCCUCCACCAGGUGGACAUUUUGGGGGAGCCAAAGCCAGGGACACCACAGAAGAGCUAAAAACUCCAAAACCCUCAAUUAAGAUCACAUUGCUGAUAAGCAAAAGUUGUGUGAUUUUAAGUAUCAAAAGCACCGUAUUAAGAUGGUUCGCACGGUGGUGCCCACCAGGAGAGAAACUCCCCUCCACCUCCAGCCCCCGUCGUUGUCCUGCAGAUUCCAGCUGACAUUAGCUUUCUGCUGCCUCCACCCUCUGCCAGCAGCUUUUACCACGCAACCGCUGCCCCACGAUCCACCUGCUGAUAGCUGGAGAUGUAUUUCCACCUACAAAUUGUGGGGAACAAGUGUCUCUGGACAAUUUGCAUCAAAAACUCACAUUGACUACAAUUCAACAAGCUACACCACCUGCAACCUACCCUCCACCUAAAGAACCUCUGCCACAGUCCUGCUGUUGCUGCCUCCACCAGCAAGUUGUGGCAGCUGGAACCUUCAGCCUCCUCUAGCAAUCUGCAGUUGCUGCCUCCAACUGCAUGUUGCUGACAGCUGCUACCAAACCUCCACCCUCUGCCUGCAUCUGCAGUUGCUGCCUCCAACUGCAGGUUGCCGGCAGGCAGCUGCAACCAAAUCUUCACCUACGGCCUCUGCCAGUGACCUGUUGAUGCCGCCUCAAACUGCAGGUUGCUGGCAGACAGCUUCAACCAAACCUCCACCUACGUCCUACGACCACAGUUGCACCACCACCAGCCUCCACCUAAAAUCCUCUGCCAGCAACCUGCGGUUUUUGUCUCCAACUGCAGUCUGCUUGCAGACAACUGCAACUUAAUUCCACCUUAACAGCCUCUGCCACAAACCUGCAGUUACACCCUCCACUUGCAGAUUGUGGUUGAGGGGCUACAACCAAACCUCCACCGCCAGCUGUACCUAAACAUCCACAGAGACUGACCAGAGCGACUAAAGUAACUUUCAUCAUGGAAAAUAGGUGUUGGACUGUGUUCCCGCUGUGCAGCCCUCCUCAGCUGGUGACCAUUCAGGGUCUUUGGAUUUGGUCCGGAAGCCUAGAGCCACCAUCCCACCUGCUGACCUGCCCCGAGUCUCCUGUGUGGCCCCCAGCCCUCCACUGCUCCACUGCUCCACUGGCCUCUGAAGAUAUUUAACCUCCCAGUGGAAGAAUACCAGCAGCUGUACCACGAGUUGUUUUUGGACUCCACACGUCCAGAUGUACCAGGAGCUGAUCGAGAGCCACCGGGACCAUUCCUUCUACCACAAGAGUCGUGUUCCAGAGAUGCUUAUUCCUCCUCCACCUUCACUACACAUUCCUGCUCCUCGUCUGGACCUUUGCAUUAUUGUUCAAUAAAUGAAUUGUUUGCAGUCA
This is a long non-coding RNA of Gasterosteus aculeatus aculeatus (three-spined stickleback), 2157 nucleotides long. The record is from Ensembl. NCBI's taxonomy places the organism in Eukaryota, Metazoa, Chordata, Actinopteri, Perciformes, Gasterosteidae.